This 728-nucleotide small RNA is filed under the name Pan troglodytes (chimpanzee). RNAcentral describes it as "processed transcript". Lineage: Eukaryota; Metazoa; Chordata; Mammalia; Primates; Hominidae. The record is from RNAcentral.
AGAGGAGCUCACAAAACUCAUCUAUGAGGCCAGUGGGCAGGACAUCAGCAUUGCCGUCCUCACGCAGGAGAUUGUGGUUUACCUGGCCAUGUAUGUCAGGGCGCAGCCCAGCCUCUUUGUGGAGAUGCUGAGACUCCGGAUUGGACUGAUCAUUCAGGUGAUGGCCACGGAGCUGGCACGGAGCCUGAACUGCUCAGGAGAAGAGGCUUCUGAAAGUUUGAUGAACCUCAGCCCUUUCGAUAUGAAAAAUCUCCUGCACCAUAUUCUAAGUGGGAAAGAGUUUGGCGUUGAAAGAAGUGAUAGGAGGUCUCACCAUGCUGCCCAGGCUGGUCUUGAACUCCUGGGCUCAAGCAGUCUUCCCACCUCGGCCUCCCAAAGUGCUGGGAUUACAGUGCGCCCUAUCCACUCCUCCACAUCCAGCCCUGCCAUCUCCAUCCACGAGGUGGGCCAUACCGGAGUCACCAAAACUGAGAGGAGUGGCAUUAACAGACUGAGGAGUGAAAUGAAACAGAGGUCCAGCACCCCAUCCUCGCCCACUGGCACGUCAUCCUCAGACUCGGGAGGACAUCACAUCGGCUGGGGUGAGCGGCAGGGCCAGUGGCUGCGCAGGAGAAGGCUGGAUGGGGCCAUCAACAGGGUCCCCGUGGGAUUCUACCAGAGGGUGUGGAAGAUCCUCCAGAAGUGCCACGGUCUCUCCAUCGAUGGUUAUGUCCUCCCAUCCUCGACGA